AGAGUUUGAUCCUGGCUCAGAUUGAACGCUGGCGGCAUGCCUUACACAUGCAAGUCGAGCGGCAGCGCGGGGGCAACCCUGGCGGCGAGCGGCGAACGGGUGAGUAAUACAUCGGAACGUGUCCUGUCGUGGGGGAUAACCAGUCGAAAGACUGGCUAAUACCGCAUGAGAUCUCACGAUGAAAGCGGGGGACCGCAAGACCUCGCGCGAUUGGAGCGGCCGAUGGCAGAUUAGGUAGUUGGUGGGGUAAAGGCUCACCAAGCCGACGAUCUGUAGCUGGUCUGAGAGGACGACCAGCCACACUGGGACUGAGACACGGCCCAGCCUCCUACGGGAGGCAGCAGUGGGGAAUUUUGGACAAUGGGCGCAAGCCUGAUCCAGCCAUUCCGCGUGCAGGAUGAAGGCCCUCGGGUUGUAAACUGCUUUUGGACGGAACGAAAAGGCCUUUUCUAAUACAGAGGGCUCAUGACGGUACCGUCAGAAUAAGCACCGGCUANCUACGUGCCAGCAGCCGCGGUAAUACGUAGGGUGCAAGGCGUUAUCGGAAUUACUGGNGCGUAAAGCCGUGCCGCAGGCGGUUAUGUAAGGACACGUGUGAAAUCCCCGGGGCUUAACCUGGGGAACUGCAUUUNGUGACUGCAUAGCUAGNAAUACGGUANAGGGGGAU
Molecule: ribosomal RNA, 667 nt
Filed under: uncultured bacterium
Lineage: Bacteria
Description: bacterial SSU rRNA
Rfam family: Bacterial small subunit ribosomal RNA
Source: RNAcentral